GGUAGAACAUUUGUGCAGAAAAGGCUGUGUCUACAUAAUCUGGUAAUGCAGUCCAGUAGGGGUAGAUUUGUAGAACACUGGAGCUCUAAGGUCCAAAGCCAGCACAAUCCAUGCAUCCACAGUCCAUAAUAUUCAUUCAUCAAGAUACUUCCAUUUAGAAGAUUCCAGUCCAGACCUGUUGAUGGCCAGUAGAGACUAAAACAAUGCAAUAUAGAUGUUCCACAUCUCCCAGUUUAGUUUAAUUGGAAGAAAAUCUGGUUUGUGCACUCGGUAGUCAUGCUGUGUUACAAACCAACACAUGUAAGAAGUGAAAAUGAAGAGGAGAUUUGCUUUAAAAGCUCAUUUGAUCAAAGUUUUGAACCAAAGCAGAAAAAAACCCAUGCCAAUUAAAGAAGCACAUCAUGUAUUUCCACACCCAGUUCUCACAUCCAGAAAAGGAAAAAAGAAAAAAAAAUGAAGAGGGAAAAUUCACAAGUUUGUUCAGCAUCUGUUGCAGCAUCAACUGUGCUUUCUGAUGAAUAAAUGAAGUGGGAAGUCUUCACUUCAAGAGGUACUGGAGAGUCAUACACUUGUCAGUCAGCUUUGUAGUAUGGCCAAUCAGCAAAUACUCUGGAGGUCUUACUUUAUUAAAUGAAAAAUGCAAUUUAGAUUUUAGGUCCUGUAUUUAAAAUAAAGUUUCCCCCUUGGUUUUAAAUUCCCAUUCUUGUUACUUUCCAGCUGAUCUCCAGACUGAACAGGUGAAGUUAUAUCCCUGCUUCAUGAGACUGAAGCAGCACGUACUGCACUGGUGGAUUUAUUUCUUGUCCACAUCAAAAUGCAGAGACUACUCCACUCAUCAGGUCCAUGGCAUACAGAGGAGAUGUUAUCAACAUGUAACAUGUAUCCUAGCAAGAAAAACUGAGAAUCAGCAGAAGUAUUCAUCAAGCAGAUGACUGAAAGAUCUCCUAUGAGCAGCCAUUCAUUUCCCUGACCUGAUGACAGCCAUCCCUGCUCUGCACACCUGGACGAACUCAGGACAAACCAGCUCUGCCAGUUAUCAUGGAGAUGAAGGGCAGAGAAGGAGAAAAGUUGUAUCAGAAUCAUGGAGAACAUCUUCUGAAAAGGGAAAAAUCUUUGAUGAAGAAGUAAGCCCACAAACCAUACAGAAGUUUAUUUGGUGUCUAAGUAGAAAGGGAAAAAAUGUAUAUAUUCUCCAUGUCUCUUGUUUUCAAUACAUGCAUGACAUAUUAUUUACAGAAUUACCCAUUGCUUACUGGUAUAGUUUGGUUUUUUUUACAGUCUCACUUGGAAAACUACAUAGUGCAUUGGCCAGAGUACCCAGUCUGAAUGCAGAAGUGCUGUCUGGGUGCCUAGCAAUAACUUCUGGUGCCAUUGGUCCAUUUUAAUUGAAUUUGGCAGGCUGAAGUUUGAGAGAGGAAGUUUCUUCCAGUUAUUUUAAGCAAAUGGUGGGUAAGUACAAAAAACACCAGUGGAUGCUCCAGGCUGAAAGCUAAACUCAGUUAGCCUUAGAGAAAAGAGGGCUUUACUUCUUAGCGUAGGCUUUGUGUUUUUAGUGAUGCAUAGAAUUGCUUACUUAUUGUAUGAUUUGCUUUCAUUCGAUUUUCUCCAGAUGUCCAGAGACUGUAGCAUGCGAUGCAAUUGAAAGAACAGCCAUUACCCUUGUUUUAAAAAGAAAUCCUUCAAAAAAAAAUGGGGUUUGUUUUGAACUCCCGGGUUUUAUUUUUCACAUUCAAAGAAAAAAACUUAUUUUUUCUUGUUCCACCUAUAACAUUAUAUUCCUUCUCAGUUUUGAAAAGGUCAUAUCACCUGAUGUAAUAAUUGCUUGCAGCUGUUAUGUA
This is a long non-coding RNA of Coturnix japonica (Japanese quail), 1838 nucleotides long. RefSeq lists it as uncharacterized. The record is from RefSeq and is a predicted model, not a curated record. NCBI's taxonomy places the organism in Eukaryota, Metazoa, Chordata, Aves, Galliformes, Phasianidae.